Molecule: long non-coding RNA, 235 nt
Filed under: Gallus gallus (chicken)
Lineage: Eukaryota; Metazoa; Chordata; Aves; Galliformes; Phasianidae
Source: RNAcentral
AGGCCAAACGCCAACAUGUUGUGGAUGAAGGUGCCCAGCUGCCCGAAGGUGAUGUUCUCGUUGAAGCGCAGGCUGUCGUCCCUCUCCUCCUGUGUCAUGUGGCACCACUUCUCCCUGGUGGUGGGGGAGCGCUUCCUGCGCUCGCAGUGCACGGCGUCGAAGAAGGCGGCGUUCCAGAAGCGCAGGUUGUGCCAGAUGGGCUGCUGCUUGAGGUGCAUGUACAGGUAGAUCUUCU